Molecule: long non-coding RNA, 2952 nt
Filed under: Homo sapiens (human)
Lineage: Eukaryota; Metazoa; Chordata; Mammalia; Primates; Hominidae
Description: HSALNT0062149
Source: RNAcentral
CAAAGGCUUGUUUAAAAAAAAAUCUGUUUUGCCUAUCUAAACCUCUCUAAAAGGAAGGAAAUAAAAUUUUGUAACUUUCCAAGAAGUGAAAACCAAUUAACAUUUUAAAGUCACAUUACACUCAUAACCUCUAAUACAUUAUUUUCAGAAGAGCCAUUUCUGCUGAGUCAGAAUAUAAAAUAGGAUUCAAAUACCUAUUUCCUUAAUAGAUUUAAAUGACUGUGACUAACAAUCUCAAUAUUUCUUGUUUUAUGGAAAAAUUUUAGUUUCUCAAGGAUCCCAUGGGGAUUGGACAUGAUGGUGUUUAAGGGCCUCUAACGAUCCCUGCCUUGGAUAUGUGUAGUCCCCUCCCACACUGCAUCAGGAUUGGUCUGUGAAUACGGCAGAAAUGAUGGGGAAGCCAGAUGCUGUGUUGUGAGGACAGUCAGGCAGCCCCAUGGAGAGGCCCAUGUGGCAAGGCAUUGAGGACUUCUGCCAAUAGCCAUAUGAAUGACCAUCUUGGAAGUAGGUGCUCCAGCCCUGGAUAAACCUUCAGAUGACUGCAGCCCCUGCUCAGAGCUUGACUGCAACCCCAUCAGAGACCCUGAGCCUGAGACACUCAGCUAAGUCACUCGGAGGUUUGCUUCAUCAGAAUCCAUAGGUUCUCAAGUGGCGCUCCUCCUUGUGCUCGCAGAACCCCGCUUAUUGACUCUACAGAUACUUUUUGCAGAAAAUGGCUGCCUCUUUGCUGUCUACUGUGACUCUUCAACUAGGAAAGAACCAAAUAGAUUUAACCUACUCAACUCGACACUUCUGAACAAAAAAGAAUGCAGAAUAUAUAGCACCAACCAGGAAUUCAAGGUCUCCUUGGGAGUCUCAUGUCCUUGCCAAGCCUUCGCCAGGCUCUCGCCACUGCCGUUCCUCUACCAGCCCAAGUCUACAUUCUGAGGCUCUAGGAACACGAGAGAGAACUCCAGUGCUCACAUCCCAUAUUGACCCUCUUUAUGUUCUUCAAUUACCACCUACCUGAAAAAGCCUCAAAGUCUCAGGGGAACAUUCUGGAGUCCCUGCUGCUGAAGAGGGUUUUUUGAGUUUUGGUCGUCUUCCAAAGUUUACUGUAUGAAGUCUUAGUGCUUCACUGGAGUUUGUCAUAUGUCUGGAUAAUAAAUAAGUUUCAAAAAUGUAACUAACAUAAGUUCCAGUUGAAUUUCCAAGGCUAGCAGAAUUGUGUUCUUCUUCCUCUCCCUUUCCCUCCUCCCUGCCUCCACCAACUGCCACAGCGUAUAUUAAAAGCUGACGUGCCAAACUUUGCCUUCCGGCAGAAAUUACCUCGGAAAUAAAGCUAAGAUUCCAGGGGUCCUGGCCUUGAAGAGAAUCUAAUCCAAGAAGACAAGCGGAACUGAGAGGCCUAGGAAGACUUAAAGUUGGAAGGAAAGAAUUCACAGCUAAUUUGGAGGAUAAACAGAAAAGUAGUUCAGCAUAAUGUGAACAUUUUUCCAUGUGCUACAGCAAAGGAAGAGGAUUUGGGAUAUUUAAGGAGGAGAGUUGCCCUUUCCACCUUAGCCUGCUUUUCUCAGAGUUGGCAUUCAACCACCAAAACAGCCAGAAACCAGAGGGCUGUUCCCACACCCACAAUUUAUAUAGCUUUACUCCAUUCAUAGCAGGUAGAUAUCUAACGACACUUAAGGCUUCCUACCAAAUUUUUACAAUUUCAUUUUAUUGCUCAUGAUUCUCUUUUGCUACUUUCAUCAGCUUUGUGUCCUGGAAUUUCACUUAGCCUGGCAGGCCUUCCCUCUGCCACAGCUAAAAGAGAACUCAAAUAGACUUUGUCUCGGGAGUGGGACAUGACCCAGUCAUAUGGGGUAGCAUAUAUCCCUUCCCGCACUAAUUGUUCUGCUUUUUUAAAUCCUUGCUUUCAAAAGAAAUGUAAUCCUUAUGUUUCUACCUCAUUUACACUUAAUUUAGGAAAGCCCUCUUUCAUAAGAGCUGUGUGAUGUCCAAACAGCCUUCUUGACACACACGCCCCUCUUCAAGAGCCUCUAGAAGUCUUCCAAAGUCAGAACCAAUGCCUUCUGACUCUAAAUUGAAAAUCCAAUUAAACACGCAAUUUAGGUGAAUACCAGAAAGUUUACCCUUGAAUUUUCAGCUAGCGCCUACUCUCACAAAAGUAUUUGAGAGCAUCGAAAUUCUAGAAUCUAGAAAAAGAAUCUGUAGUGUGUGCUAACAAUUUACUUCUCUAGCAUCAAUAAUUUCUGACCCUGCAGCAAGUCCCAGCACCAGGAAGUGACGCAUUUGAAUUCCAUAGGUCACCUUAGCAUCUAGUAGCAAUGCCCAAGACAUGGGCUCCAGAGCAUACUUCCUGCAUUUGAAUCCUACCUUUACAUCAUAAGUUAUUUGUAAAUAUCAAAUGAGUCAAAGCAGGCAAAGCACUUAUUGUAGUGCUGGACGUAGUCACUACUCGGUCCCAUUACCUGUGAUCACUAGGCUUUUGCACACUGCUCUUGGUGCUUAUUGGGAACAAUAUAAGAAUUUACUGUAUCUACAGGAAGAUAUUUCUGCAAUUUUUGUAAAACUACUUUUAAAGAUACUGCUCAUUUUUCCUUUUAAUGUCCCGUCUAGUAAAUAAGCCUUUGUUAAAGUAAUGUUAGAUUACUCAAGCUAGAAAAACAGAAAUGUGCCCUCCUGAUUAACUAACAGGCUUCCUUUAACUUUAAUAUCAUAAACACAGAUGAGUGACUAGUUUUUCAUUCUUAUUUUAUUCUUUGCUUUGGCUGUCAAAAAGUCAGGGUUUAUGUUUGGCUAUAGUAGCAAUCCUGAGUUUAGCAAUAAUAAUAGCUCUCAGUUAUUUACGAAAAAAGUGCUAAUGUUUAAGAGCAUUUUGUAAUGUUAUUGUCUGAUUUUUGCACUCCAAAAAUAAAAAUUAAAAGAGGGCAAUUCCUGCAAAUAAAUAUACCUGAAAUUAAUACACAAGAA